ACCAUAAAUUAUUUCAUUGCUACUUUAUAACUCUAAUUUUGCUACUGUCACAAAUCAUGUUAUAAAUAUCUGUGCUUUGCUAUGGUCUUGGGUGACACUGUGAAAGGGUCACAUGACCACUGAAAGGGGUUGAGACCCAAGGGUUGAGAACCACUAUAAGAAAAUAAAUAGAAGAACAAAUUAAACCCCCCCCCCCAUACCAGCAGGGCAGAAGUAGAAAUCAAAAGUAGGAAAAGUUACCUAAACCAAAAGCUGGUAUUUGAAAAAUAAUAUUCAUUAAAAAGAGGAAGUAGAUGUAAACUUCAGUCGGCAGACUGUACAGGGGUGAACCCUUGGAGUGGACCUGAGGUGGCUGCAGCUGCUCUAACCCUGAAGCUCUACCAUGGAGAUCAAGGUGCUCUGGGGAUGCUGAGGAAACAGAGGCUGCCUAAGCUACAGCUUAAGAGGAAGCAAGGCACAGGGAGCAGAAAGAAGUAAUAUCUUAGCCCAAGUUCUGGGUCAUUCCUGUAGGGAUAAUCUCUGGAGGACUGUGUGGUAGCAUCACCUGUCAAUAAAAAGCUGAUGGCUAUUAGCAAAGGGCAGGAAAGAGAAAGUGGGAGUUCUGGAAGAGAAACUGAAACUCUGGAAAAGAGUUAGAUAAGGGAAGAUUCGCCCUGGACUCUGAGGAAGUCAGAUGUAUGAACUAACCAGCCACGUGGCAGACAUAGAAUAGUAUAAAUAGGUUAAUUGAGUUACAAGCUAGUGGGAAGCAAUACCUACUAUAAGACCAAUGGCAUUUAUUAAUAUUGUCUUCAUAUCAGUAUUCGGGAACUGGGGAGGGCGCAGAAAAUCCCAGAGUCGUUACAAGUCCAUUCUACAUUGUGUAACUUGGCACUUGAAAAGGCAGAAAAAAAAGAAAGUAGAAGCAAAUUUCCUUAUAUAGAUGGUAAGUUAUAAUGACCAUAUAGUAGAAAGCUAUCUGAACACUGUUCAGCAGAAAUCCUGAAACAGGAAGCUGACAGAAAACGAAGGUUAAAUUCAACAUAGGAAGGAUAAUAGAUUUGGAAAAAGACGAUGAUUACCGAACUAAAAAUGUCUGGAGCCUGCCGUGUUGGCUCAUACGAGCCAUCAAACCGUCAUAGCACUCGGAAGGUUGGGACAGUAGAAUUGCCAAUUUGAGACCAGGCCUGGAUAAACAGCAAGACCUUAGAACAAGUUUUUAAAACCCUGAACAACAAAUGGAACAGCCAGAGAGAAGUUUAGAGGUUGGAAAAAAUUGCAGAACAGAAUUUAAGAUUAUUAAGGGUUGGCUCUGUUGCUAUACCAAAUGAACAGCAGCAAACUGUGAAAUGGGAGACAUCACUAUAGUCCCCACAGACAUUAAAACAACGAGAGAAUAUUAUUAGCAAUUUUUUAAAUGUCAGUAAAGUUGACAACUUAGAUCAAAAGGACACAAUUUCUUAGAAGAACUUAAGGAAGACUCAGUAAUUUAAAACCCUUUCCCAAGGAAAAGUGUGCUGACUUUCAGUAGCCAAAACCUGAACACAGUAGCCAACACCCGAACAGCACUAUGAAUAUUUAAGAAGUCAUACCAGUGAUACACAUACUUUCCCAGAAAUAGGAAACAAGAGAACCCUUACCAUCCAUAUUUACAAGGUUACUGUGGAUUCCAUAUCCAUGGAUUCAACUAGGCGGAAAAAACAUCUGUACUUAUACACUUGUUGCUUUGUAAACAGCCUAUCACAGCAACCAUUUAACUAUUUGUUUUGCAUUUAUAUUACAUUAGAUAUUUGAUAAGUGCUCAAGAGGUGAUUUGUGGUAGACAGAACAAUGAAUGCAGGCUAUUCACAAAUACUAAGCUACUUAUAACAGACAGAAGGAAAUGCAGAGUGCACGGGGUUUAGCCCUCUGUGGUCAGUACCUGAACUCCAAGGGACAGCUGGGUUAGUAAAUAAUAUCAGUUCUACAGAAAGAGUAUGAAGUAAGUCAUUACCGGAUGAGCUUAGCGACUAGAAUGCAAGAUUGGUUCAGUAUUCCUGAGUCAGUCAAUUUUAUUUAUCAUCUCAUCAGACUAAAGAAAAAAAUAUCAUCUCAAUAGAUCAAGAUAACGUAUUUCAUAAUAAUCUAUCACUUCCUGGAAAAACUUUCAGAAAACAAGCAAUAAAAGUUCUUCCACUUGAUAAAGGGCAUUUAUUUAAAAAUAACCUCAUCACUAACAUUGUAAGUAAAAAUGGAAUAUUGAAUGGUCUCUCCUGAAGUCUUAACAAAGCAACAAUGUUGGCUUCACCAUGAUUACAAUUAGAAAAUAUGUCUGUGUGUGUGUGUGUGUGCGCACGCACAUAUAUUACCUCCUGAGACAUCGUGCUGGCCCUUUUGACAUUAGCUUUGAACAUUGUCUGGGAUAUCCUACCUAGUACAUUAAGGCAAGAAAUAGAAAAAAAGGCAUACAAAUUGGAAUAUAAAAUCUAAAUGACUUUAUUCAUAUAUAGCAUGAUAUCUAUCUGGCAAAUUCAAAGGAUACAAAAAGUUGGUGACAACAACUACUGAAUGCUUAGAUAAGCCAGGUUGUGGGCUCAAGAUAUGAACACGGACAGCAAACACUGAACUUGAAAAUUUAUAUGAGCAAUAUGACAAUUGCACUCAAAUAAUUUCAAUUUCUAUGGAUAAAACUAACAAAAGUGCAGAAUUUAUGAGCCGAAAACUCUUAAAAUAUUGGUAAUAGAAAUCGAAUUAGACAAAAACUACUGGUUGCCUACGCAUAGGUUGGAAGACUGGUUACUAUUAAACGCCAUUGCUGCUGAUAGUGCAUGCACUCAGUGAGAUUUCAGGGGAAGACAGUCCGCAUGGCCUUGCUUGGAAGUGGAAGUGGUUAGGUUACUUCUAAAAUGUGCACCGAGAAGCAAGGCAAGUCAGACAAAUUUUGAGAAAGGAAGGAAAGAAGGAAGGAAGAAAGGACAAAAGGAGGGAAGAACAACUAACCACUCCCCCCAAACAGAUCAAAACCCCUAGGAAAAAAGAUGUGAGGACGCAGAUUACUGAGGACUGCUACAAUCAAGUUUUAAAACUCCGUGGUAAGAAAACACAGCAUAAGGGGCAGGUAAGAAUGCUCACUGUGGCUGAAUGGUGGUGGCACAUGUGUUAGCUGUAUUUUUUUUAAGUAGUUUGCUUUUGGUAUGUGUGUAUAUGUUAAAGGUGUGUGUGGCAUGCUCGUAUACAUGUGCAUACUGACAGAGAUAUCCCAAUCUAUCAUGCCCCAUUAAUUUCUUUGAGACAGGUCUUUCCUUGAACCUGGAGCUAGGCCAGCAGCUACGAAGUCUCAGGGAUCCUUCUGCCUUUACCCACUAACAACAGUGGAGGUAGGUGUACCUGUACGGCUACAUCUAGCUUUUAUAAUGUGUGUACUGGAUUCGAACUUAGGUCCUCAUCCCUGCACAGCAAGUACCCCCCACCCACUGAACCACCCCACAGCUGUUUUCUAGUACUUGCGGUCCCUCUGUACUUUGGUUGUGUCUGAAUUAUUAUACACACUGCAGACAGACUUUAUGACUAUAUAUCCUUGCCUAUGAUUGUUACUUCCUGGUUUGUCUCUGUCACUGUUUGUAUGGUACUCAUCCUAAUAGGUGUGAGGUGUCCUCUCACUGUGUGAAAUGUUUUGAUUCACAUUUCACCAUGAUUCACUAAUCACACAGAAUUUUCGUACACAUCUGCUGUCGGCCAUUUGUAUUUCUUUAAUGGGAAAUUUUCUCCUCAUGCUUUUGUCUAUACUAAAAGUAUGUUUGUUUUUGUGUAUCUGCUUUGUAGUUAAGUUAUUGGAAUUCUUUUUGCCUUUGAAUAUUAUUGGCCCCUUAUCAGAUUUUUGGGGUGCAGAUAUUCUACAUUCUGUAGCUCUUUUGCCGUGGUGUUUAUGGUGCAUAAGGUUUCAAUUCUGAUGCAGACUUGUCUGUUUUUGCUUUUUUUGCACAGGCUUCUGGUAUUAUGCUGAAGAAUUCAUAGUGAAGACAAUCAUGACAUUUUUCCAGUAUGCUUUCUUUCAGGAUACAUACACGCAUGUACACACGUGCGCGUUUGUGUGUAUGCUGGGGAUCAAACCCAGGCCUCGCUCAUGUUGGGGAAACAUUCUACUAUUCAGCUACCCACUGUCAGAUGUUACCUUCUUUUUCCCCAUUACAUGAUCUAGCAUUUAUUAGUACAUUGGCCAGGCAAAUACAAAAUCUGUUUUAGGAUUUCAGGCCAUCUCUUAGUCUAGAAAUGGCAAAGCUUUGGUUUGUAAUGCUGAUCACCAUAGAGCUAACCUGGGACAAGAAGGGGCUGAAGGAGAACCCUGUCCCAGCUGACACCUUAUAGUCAAGGUCCUGUUUCUGCCAGGGAGAGGAAGAGCAGGGCGUCUCACCCUCGACAGGAAAGUUCUAUGAUAUAGGCGCCAUCCUACGUCCCAGAGCACAAGGCAGCAGAAUCAGAGUCCCCUGGCCAUUGGGAGGGUCUGAGGACUGUGGUGGUAGAAAUGAAAAUUCACAGCUACAGAGGAGCAAGAAUUGGUGGAGUUUCUAGAUGGGGUGGGUGCACUCUUGGCUGGAAGGAGUGGGUAUGGUCGCUUUUUUUUUUUUUUUUUUUUUUUUAACUGUUGUUGUUACUGUUUUAUGAGUUUGGCCCACGUGUCUUGGAGCUAAACUCUCGAAGUUCUUCCCUUUAGGUUGAAUUUCAAAGGCAAUGUCUUCUGCAGUUUUUCUGUCUGGCUGAAUCAGCCUCCAGCUCUUCAUGAUGUUUGUGGGUUCACGUGAAGGUGCUGUUCUGAGAAAGACUCCAGAGAAUCUAUGGCCUCCUCAGAGGGAGCCUGCUCAGGUAGAGAAUUCUGUUUACUGCAUAAACAAGGGAAGGUUACUUACCAAAUCCUUCCUUCCUUCCUUCCUUCCUUCCUUCCUUCCUUCCUUCCUUCCUUCCCUCCUUUCUUUUCUUUUCUUUUCAGUUUUUCUCCUAGUAAUGUAUUUAUUCCCUUCCUUCUUUUAUAGAACGAUUAGAACAUGAGGACUUGGGGGUGGGGUAAAGGGUAAACAUAUGGGUCAUGGAAGAGAAGACAAGUUCUAGAAAUGGAAUUCUUAAAAAAAAAAAAAGAAAGAAAGAAAGAAAGAAAGAAAGAAAGAAAGAAAGAAAGAAAAGAAAAUGGAAUUCUUGCUUUGCUCCCAAGUAACCCCUCUGGAAAAUGUCUAGAUAGCAAGACUGUCUUUUCAACUCAGAUGGUAAUUGCAACUCUAUGUCUCUGGUCACACUAGAAACAGAGGCCAGGAAAUAAGCUGGAGUUCAGUCUUCAAUCCCUCGGAAUGCUUAGAGGAGGAGGGAGACUGAAGGUAAUACUUAAUUUUGCCAAAGCAGACAUGUAGGGUGCCCAGCAGACUGGAAUCAAUUUCCCCUUUGGUGAGCAAGACUGGGUCAUUUACGCUGAAGAAGAAAUGAACUGUUCUUUAGAGCAUUUGCUUGUUAUGCUCUGUGACGUUCUAAUUUACACAUUAAAACCCCUAGAAAGUAUAUUCCAACUUGGUAAAGUCAGUGGAGGGGCAUAUGAGGCCCAGAGGCUUUUAGGGCAGCGAAGCUAUUAGGUGUGAUUCUGUAGUGACAAACCACACGUUUGUCAGAAAACACUGGAUCAAACACCAAGAGCAAUCCGACCAACAUGGCCUGUGACUUUCACAACAGUGUCACAGUCUCUGUGUCUGCUGCUACUGAUCUAUCUGUACCUAUCUAUAGCUAUAUCCUCAGUAGUCUGUAUUGGGUUAACUGGAGAGAAAGAGGAAGGAAGGGAAGAAAGGAAAGGGAGGAGGUGAGAAUUGAUACAUGGGAAGAUGCGCUUCCUGCCCCAUUUCUCUGUAAACCUAAAAUUGCCCAAAAAAAAAAAAAGUUUAGUAACUGGAAUAAAAAAAAGCUCUUCUACCUGGAAUUUCAUCGCUACCUCAAAUAAGCUGCCAAUGAGAAUCCAGUCAGCCUAAACCACAGAGACGCUGCUUUUUCACGGCUUCUGUACACAUCCACCACAGAUUUGUGACUGUAGAAAGAGCAAAGGCCUGGAUCAAAGCUAGGCAGGGUUGGAGGUGUGACUUUCUCCAUCCACACAGGACAGAGUGAGUCAGCUCACUUAGCUCAGGAGGUCCUUUCUCUUUUCUGUUUUCUUUCUUUCUUUUUUUUAAGAGCUCACUAGCCGUUGGCACUUGGUGACAAUAUGGAUCAAGUAGUUGUGAAUGUGUCCCCUAAAAUGAAUGGCAUUGUAUAAAAGCAUUGUAAAUCAAUAAAAUCACCUGCUCACGGUCACAUAGCUCACUUAGAGGCAACACUGUAACCUAGAUAUCAAGACUCCUACCUAAACUGUUUUCUUUCUGUGGGGUAAGGUUUUGGAGACCCCGCUUUCUCUUUGACCAGAAGCUUAUCCAAGCUGCUUACAAGCGUGCUC
This 6415-nucleotide small RNA is filed under the name Rattus norvegicus (Norway rat). RNAcentral's name for it is "uncharacterized LOC102547466". Lineage: Eukaryota; Metazoa; Chordata; Mammalia; Rodentia; Muridae. The record is from RNAcentral.